RNAcentral lists this ribosomal RNA (940 nucleotides) under Abacarus bambusae. RNAcentral describes it as "eukaryotic LSU rRNA". It matches the Rfam family "Eukaryotic large subunit ribosomal RNA", at positions 366 to 944 of the family's 3401-position model. The record is from RNAcentral. Lineage: Eukaryota; Metazoa; Arthropoda; Arachnida; Trombidiformes; Eriophyidae.
AAAUAGAACUUUGCAGAGAGAGUUAACAGGGCGUGAACCGUUGAUUGGCAAACGAAUCGGAGCCACGAAGUCGUUUCGUUGUUUAGCCUGGAUCAGGUUCAGCCGGGGUCGAGAGGCCCCGGUGUAGUCCUGGGUCUGGCCAAACCUUGUAAGCGUACACUGCAACCAGUUAGACGAUCAGCCGUGGGCAUAGCGCUCGUGUUCCGUGCAGCAAUGUAUGGGCGCUUGUGCGAAGCAGUUGUUCGUGGGCGUUAGUAGUAGUGCGGUUGCGCUUCGGCGUUUCUCGUGUUGCUGGGCGCCCAUGAGUGAGCUACGGCUGAAUACUGACUGGCGAAAUGAAAACCGCGCCUUGUGCGCGUCAGAGACAACGCGUCCGUCGGAUGCGGGCCUACAUGGUCGACUGUUAGGUCUAAGCUUGGCGUUUUUGAAUUCAGACUUGCUCGCUACCAGUGGGGCAACCCCUGGUGCUUGUACAGCUUCUGUCUAAUCGGGCGUCGACUUGGCUUGGCAUCGUUUGGCCGUGCGUCGAUCGGGUCCGCAUGCGAGCGGGUCCGCAAUGUGAAUUGGCAGUGAGUAGGUCGGCUUUCCGAACGACCCGUCUUGAAACACGGACCAAGGAGUCUAAUUAGGCAUCGAGUCGAUCGGUCUUGAUAGGCCAGACUGGUACCCCUCGGGGCGCCGACUGAAGGCGUAGAGAAAUCAAAUCGUGUGAUCGCGGGGGCAACAACAGCCGCUGCGCGCAACAUGUGCCUGUUCGUAUAGCAAUGCAGCAAUGCUUGCUGGGCGGAGCAGAGAGAUGCCUGAUUGGGACCCGAAAGAUGGUGAACUAUGCUUGGGCAAAUUGAAGCCAGAGGAAACUCUGGUGGAGGAUUGUAGCGAUUCUGACGUGCAAAUCGAUCGUCAGACCUGAGUAUAGGGGCGAAAGACUAAUCGAACCAUC